This 7147-nucleotide long non-coding RNA is filed under the name Amborella trichopoda. Its description in RNAcentral is "long non-coding RNA (ATRI_LNC005448)". The record is from RNAcentral. Lineage: Eukaryota; Viridiplantae; Streptophyta; Magnoliopsida; Amborellales; Amborellaceae.
CAGGUAUGUCUUGGACUUCACAGCAACCUUUUCUCAUGAACUUUCACAAAUAUUUCUCAUUUGAAUGUAACAAUUCCUAUUCUCCUUAAAACCAAUAUAUUUGCUGGCUGAGCAUUGAAAAUACUGUAGAGAUUCAUUGUGAUAAGUGUUACAUGGAGGCCAGACACAUUAUUGUCCAACAUGUGUACAGGGGUGUGUUAUAUAUAUUAGUCCAAGAAUUGUUGAACUGAAAAUAGGGAAGUAGCAUAUAAACCUUAAUAAAAGAGUACAUGGAUCUAAAAUAAAGUCGUAAAACUGCUAGGAAUAUGAUGACAUAUUUUUAAAGCAACUGCUAGGACUAUGAUGAUAUCUUUUUAAAGCUUUUCAUGAGGACACUUCUGGGUUGCAUUCGUCCUUUGAACAUGAUUGCUUCCUUGGUCCGGCUCCCACUGCUACUCUCAUUCCUCUACCAUGUAAAGGAGGACUUUGUUGCAUGCUUGUGUCUUUGACAGGUCAACCACUUCAUGGAGAACGUCAUUGAUAUGCAUAUUCUACAUCAUUUCUUAUGCUGAAAUCAUCUUUUGAGAAGCCUUUGGUUAUCAUACUAAUUGCUGAUUUGAGCACUGAAAGUAUAGUCACCAAGGUGUUAAAUUGGGACUGGUGCAGGAUGUUGCUUAUACCGGUUAUGUGUUUAUUUAUAUGCAUCUGGGUGUGUUCUUUUGUGCUCUUCUGCUAUUAGAGCUUAUACCUGUUACAAGUCUUCCUCCUAUAAUCUGAAACAUUAUAGAUGAUUCAGUGAAGAGAAUGAAAUAAAAGUUUUUAAUCAUGCCCUUAUGUUUCACGGCCUAGGCUAUUCCCAAUCGAAACUCCUGCCAUUCUUGGUAGGCAACCUAGGUGAGCUGCAAACAUAGAGAGGCAUAUGGAAUUGUGGACAUCUAAUUACUCUUGUAAGGCCCCUUCAAUCACUAAGUGAAUCUUACUUUGUUUGGCCAUUAGUUAGAACUUAGAACUUUGGAUUCGCUUGUUCCAUAUUUUGAUAUGUUGGAUCAGUGAUUGAAAUUCGGAGCCUCGGGAUCAGACUCGCCCGAGUGACUCAAACCCAACAGGGUGCAGGAUCCACCUCCAGAACCCUUGGACUCGCCCAAGUCGGACCAAGAAAGCGAGCCUUCUGUGUAAUUUUCAUGGAGACUCCGCCGAGUCAGAUCGCUGACUUGGGCAAGUCAAACUACUGACUCAGGCUUGGGCCACUGGUGAGUCUGCACCCAAAUCUAAGCUUUAAGUCUAUGUUGGAUUUUUCUAGUUUGUAUUUUGAAGUUUCAUGGAUGACACACAGCAUAUGCUUUUUCCCAUUGUUUAUGUUGAAACAAUAUUUUAGCUAAGGCACCAAUGAAACAUCUCCUGCAGCUGUGGUGUGCCUUUUUUUCUUUUUUUUUUAAACUGGAUACACGAAUUUUUCGCAAAGGUUAUUAUCGUGCGGAGUUCUAUAAGCCAAUUGAGAUCUUGGGACAUCUCUUGCGAGACAUUCGAAAUCUUGGAAGAAUUUUGAAAUCUUGGUUUCCUGGGGAAAACUUGGUAAAAAUUAGGAAAUUUAAAAUCUAAAUUAUAAAAUCAAAUUCACCUAUAAGGUUUCAAGAUUGAAGUUUUUACAAACUUCUAUUAUGUCUGUUUGUUAACAUAUUUUGUUUAUUUUAUUAAAAAUACAUAAUGUUGUCUACACAUUUGUAACUUGCUUUUUCUCUUGUAAAAAAACUGGGAAGAUCUUGUAAUACUCUUUUCUUAAUACAAUAGUCAACACUUUCCAAAAAAAACGACUGUGGGAGGAAAAAAGAAAAUAAGGAACGAAAUAUCACAGUAUUAUGGAGAAUUAUAGUUUUCUAUAUGAAACAUUUCUAUACGAAAAGGAACAAUACACUUCUUUCAUCGAUCAUGAGAUUUCAAAAAUAAAACUGAAAUGGAGAUGUUUGUGACUAAUUAUGGCCGAAGUCCUCAUUGGGCACAAUGCAUCCCCUCACCCCCCCCCCCCCAUUUUUACCUGAUUCUUCUCCAGGUCAUGAUCGUGGCAGGAACAGAGACCACAGCUGUGACAUUGCAGUGGGCAAUAGCCCUCCUCCUCAACCACCCUGACUCCCUUCAGAAAGCUCAAACCGAGCUAGACCAACAAGUGGGAAGGGACCGAUUAGUUGAAGAAUCCGAUCUCUCAAAGUUAGAGUACCUACGGGCUAUUAUCAAUGAGACACUACGCUUAUAUCCUCCGGCCGCCACUCUCCUACCCCAUGAAUCCACUACAACGUGCACUCUCGGUGGCUACACCGUGCCAAAAGGCACAAUGCUCUGGGUGAACGCAUGGCACAUACAGAGGGACCCUUGCGCGUGGUCCGAGCCUUUGAGGUUCGAGCCUGAGAGGUUUAUAGGAAGUGGGGUUGAUGUGAAGGGCCAAGAUUUUAGGGUGAUACCAUUUGGUUCUGGGAGGAGGAGCUGUCCUGGAAUGGGCUUGGCAUUGAGGUCAUUAGAGUACGUGCUCGCGAGUUUGUUGCAUGCUUUUGAGUGGCGGAGGGAGGGCCCGGAGCCAGUCGAUAUGACGGAUGUGGGCAUCUCAUUGAAGAUGGCUGCGCCCUUGAGGGCACUCGCAACUCCGCGGCUCGAGCCUCAUGUCUGCCUCCUUGCAUGAUGCAUACAUUGGCUGUAUCUGAGGAGAGAUUAUGGACAUGUUAGAUCACAUGUAUAAUGUAUCUUAGUGCUUGCAUGUGUGUGGACACGCCCACGAGAACGUGUUAUGAUAUGUUUGUAAGAUCAUUAUCUCUAUUUGAGACUUAUUUAAGUAUUGUGUGAUGCAAUUCAUUGCUUUGCUACCAUCUUGGGUAUGUAACUGCCAGUUAAUGGAAGUCUCAUGGCUCUUGUAUUUUAAAGGGCUGGGGUAUUGAGAGAGUUGAGUGACAAUAAACUUGAGCUUUUGAGCAGCAAAUGUAUUUCGUUCACUUAAUUUCAGAUCAGAAAACAGGUGAUUCUCUCUCUCUUUAUAAAUACACAAGCUAUUCAUUCAUUUACAUGAUUCAGUUUGUAACUAGGAUACACAUCUGCAAAAUUAAUAUCAAAUAUGCUCAUCUUUGUGAUAAGGAAAAUGCCAUCAUUUGUAAGUACAAUUGAUAAUACAGGUUAUUUUCACAGAAAAUUGAUUUUCUGACUAAAUAGUCCAUUCCAACAUAAGCCAGUAUUCUGAUUUAAACAACUCUCUCUCUCUCUCUCUCUCUCAAACAAAUUCGGUUUUUCAAAAAUCAAAAUUUAAUUUUAAAACAUUUUGGUUUUUGAAAAACCAAAUGAAGGCAGGUCCAUUUUUCUUUUAAAAACGGAAACUUUGACGUAAUCCCAUAAUAACUGUAAAUAUAACAGUUAUAAACGUUAUUUUUCCAAAAAAAUAUUAAAGUUUUAAAAAUUAAAUAGUGCAUCUUUGCAGUGCCGUCAGAUAAAUUUCUCUUUUUAAAGGCUUUUACUACUUGAUAAAAGUGAUGUGUUUUAGUUUUAGGGAAAUUUACCAAAUAAUAAUUUAUUCCCAAAUUUUAAAUACUUCCCUUUGUUAUCAUUUGUAAAGUAGUAGUUAAAGAGAGUGCUUGAGAUUGCAGAGAGAACCUUUUGCAGAGCUCUAUAUAUGUGCUCUGUAUUGACUAAAACUCUCUUCUAUCCAUGUUUCAAGGUUUACCCCAUGAGAAUUUCUCAACAGAAAGAACCUGUACGGUUUGGUUUUCUCAUUUCAAUCGUCUGUUUUCUCUGCUAAUUUCAGUGCUCUUUUUAGCAGUAAAUAUUUACAGGAGGAAAUUCUUGAUUCCUCUACUAUAGUGGAUUUUGGGUGUUUCCCUCUACAGUGAGCUUAUUUUGGCUUUAGGACUUGGAGGCCUAGAUUCCUGGGGUUUCAGACUGAAAACCAGUGGUUAUGAUGCUUCUUUAGUUAUUGCUUUUGAGAUGUUGCAUAACUAGAUUAAGGAUUUUGGAGCUUAUAUUAUGUGGGUUUCUUUUUUUCUCUUUGGUGGUGGUUCUAAAAUGCCAGAGGGCCAUGGCUUUGGCAUUGGUUUAUGAUUUCCUUUGCAAAGCCUAAGAAAUAAGCCAACCAGUCGAAGAUAAAAUAUAUGUUUUUCUGUUUUUCUUUUUCUAAUUUAUUGGGGUGUCUUAUUUCUAUGGCUAAUAUUUAUGCACUAAUAAAAGGAAAACUAGAUUUACCUGUUGGAGUGGAUAAUUUCCAAAUUAAUCGUAUUUUUGUAGUCUCAUAUGUUUUACUAGUCUGUAUAUUUCCAAAUUAGUAUCCUAGAAAGUAUAUUAAAAAAGAAGUGCAUUAAAUAUUAGCCAUAGAAAUUUCUAUGAUGGGUUGUUAAGGAUAACUUCUAGAUGAGUUGAAUUUUGGGUUGUGGAUGGGAUACAUUUUCUUUUUAAUAUACUUCUUUUUUUAUUCUACUUUCUAGGUUACUACUAUUUCAUUUUCUUUGAUGGGUUGUGAAGUAUCACUUCGGGAUGCGUUGAAUUUUGGAGAAAAGAAAAACCCUAAAAUAACUAGGAGCAUAAUUAACUUCUACUCGCUCGGUCAAAUGAUCUACUUCGGAGGAAUUUUUUCAAUUUGAAAAUUUGGGAACCACAUGCUGUAUAAUUAUUUUCGAAAGAAAAAACAAAAUAAAAUUUGGAGUUUUUUAAAACUUAGAUCUCACCCUCUAAAAAUUCAUUGUUUCUAUUCAAUCUUGAGACGGGUGUUUGUAAUGAGGUUUAUAUUCCAAAAUUUGGAGUCCUAAAAUUAACUCUAGAUGAGAUUUUACCUGAGGAAAUAAGUGGUUAGUAUACUCCGGAGGGAGUAAAUAAAAUAUAUGACUUUUCAGGUGCUAGCUCAUAAGGGACUGGUAAAAAAACGUGGAGCUAACCAUGAAAAAGUGAGUAGAUAGCCAUGGGUGGGAGUGUAAUAUUCAAAUGAAAGCAAUGAAACGUAACCUCUUAUGUAUGCACACAAUAAUGUUUCAAGAACCCAUGACUUUUCCCAAAAAUGCAAGGCCCGAUGCUUCGGUGGCAAUGUUUCUUGAAUACUUAUAUAUGAUCUUGGGAUUAAUAGGAAUCCAUCUCUUCUCUGUGAACUGGAAAAUGGUUGAUAUAGAAUUUGUAUUUGUCUUCUUUUUUUCCCACUAUGUCUGUGAUAAGCAUAUUUUUGUAUGUUAGUAAGAAUUUGAAGUUCCUAUUGCUGAAAGUCCCUGAAAAGAAAACAAAAAGCCAUGGAACUUAUGUUUCUUGUAGCUUUUCUCUUAAUCUUAGCCGCUUUAUAUGUAGCCAAAGGAAAAAAUUCAAUUGUGAAUCUUUCCCCUGGACCACGGCCGUUGCCUUUCAUCGGUAAUUUCCACCUCCUGAAACGAUCACUUCAUAGAUCUCUAUCCGAUCUUGCCAACCAAUAUGGCCCCAUAUUUAGCCUGCGACUUGGAAUUAGACCAGUCGUAAUUGUCUCUUCACCUAGUCUCGCUCAAGAAUGCUUCACCAAAAAUGACAUUACCUUUGCAUUUAGGCCUCGAUUGGCUUUUGGAAAAUACCUUGGCUAUAACUACAUGUCAGUUGCUUGGGCUCCCUAAGGUGCCCAUUGGCGAAACUUGCGAAGGAUUGAGACGCUUGAACUCCUGUCUUCAAGGAAAAUUGAGAUGUUUGCGUAUAUCCAACAUGAACAAGUGGCAGCAUUGCUACAAAGUAUUGUUGAAGCCUCAGAUAGAGGAGAGGUGGUGAACUUGAAGGAUAGUAACGAAGAGACCAUGUUCAAUGCCAUUGUAAAGAUGGUGGCUGAUAAAAGUUAUUAUGGAAGUGGGACUAAGGAUCUAGAUGAAGCAAAGGCAUUUAUAGAAGCCAUUAAUGAUACAUUCACAUUGUCUGGGGUGUUGAACAUUGGGGAUUUUAUUCCAUGGCUUUCAUGGUUGGGACUUAGGGGGAUUAGACUUAUGAAAGCAUUGCAUAGGAAGAGAGAUAGGCUUAUGCAGCACAUUGUGGAUGAGCAUAGGAAAUUGAGGAGUGGGGAAGGUCAUGUUUUCAAGCCAGAUUUCAUUCACAUGUUGCUGGACAGGAAAGAAGAGGAUCCCAACUAUUUCACAGAUGAUCUGAUCAAGAGUAUAAUCCAGGUAUGUCUUAGAAUUCACAGCAACCUUUUCUCAUGAACUUUCACAAAUAUUUCUCAUGUGAAUGUAACAAUUCCUAUGUUCCUGAAAACCAAUAUAUUUGCUGGCUGAGCAUUUGAAAAAACCGUAGAGUUUCAUUGUGAUAAUUGUUACAUGGAGGCAGACACAUUAUUGUCCAACAUGUGUACGGGGGUGUGUUAUAUAUAUUAGUCCUAGAAUUGUUGAACUGAAAAUCUGGAAGUGGCAUAUAAACCUUUAUAAAAGAGUACAUGGAUCUAAAAUAAAGUCAUAAAACUGCUAGGAAUAAGAUGGUAUCCUUUUUAAGCAACUGCUAGGAAUGAUGAUAUCUUUUUAAAGCUUUUCAUGAGGACACCUCCUGGUUGCAUUGGUCCUUUGAACAUGAUUGCUUCCUUGGUCUGGCUCCCACUGCUACUCUCAUUCCUCUACCAUGUAAAGGAGGACUUUGUUGCAUGCUUGUGUCUUUGACAGGUCAACCACUUUACAGAGAACGUCAUUGAUAUGCAUAUUCUACAUCAUUUCUUAUGCUGAAAUCAUCUUUUGAGAUGCCUUUGGUUAUCAUUCGAAUUGCUGAUUUGAGCACUGAAUGUAUAGUCACCAAGGUGUUAAAUUGGGAAUGGUGCAGUAUGUUGCUUAUACCAGUUAUGUGUUUAUUUAUAUGCAUCUGAGUGUGUUCUUUUCUGCUCUUCUGCUAUUAGAGCUUUAUACCUGUUACAAGUCUUCCUCCCAUAAUCUGAAACAUUAUAGAUGAUUCAGUGAAGAGAAUGAAAUAAAAUUCUUAAUCAUGACCUUAUGUUUCACGGGCUAGGCUAUUCCCAAUCAAAACUCUUUCCAUACUUGCCAUUUGUAGUAGGCAACCUAGGUCAGCUGAAAACAUAGAGAGGUAUAUGGAAUUGUAGACACCUAAUUACUCUUGUAAGGCCCCUUCAAUCACUAAGUGAAUCUUACUUUGUUUGGCCGUUAGUUAGAACUUUGGACUCGCUUGUUCCAUAUUUUGAUAUGUUGGAUCAGUGAUUGAAAUUUGGAGCCUUGGG